This 274-nucleotide ribosomal RNA is filed under the name uncultured bacterium. RNAcentral's name for it is "partial 16S ribosomal RNA". It matches the Rfam family "Bacterial small subunit ribosomal RNA", at positions 523 to 796 of the family's 1533-position model. The record is from RNAcentral.
AUACGUAGGCACCAAGCGUUGUUCGGAGUUACUGGGCGUAAAGAGUGCGUAGGCGGUUCCGUAAGUUCGGUGUGAAAUCUCCCGGCUCAACUGGGAGGGUGCGCCGAAAAAUGCGGGGCUUGAGCAUGGGAGAGGAAAGUGGAAUUCCUGGUGUAGCGGUGAAAUGCGUAGAUAUCAGGAGGAACACCGGUGGUGUAGACGGCUUUCUGGACCAUUACUGACGCUGAGGCACGAAAGCGUGGGGAGCAAACAGGAUUAGAAACCCUAGUAGUCC